Long non-coding RNA from Dreissena polymorpha, 273 nucleotides. RefSeq lists it as uncharacterized. NCBI's taxonomy places the organism in Eukaryota, Metazoa, Mollusca, Bivalvia, Myida, Dreissenidae. The transcript is spliced from 3 exons. The record is from RefSeq and is a predicted model, not a curated record.
CGAAAACAUUCAAAACAAAAACACUCGAAACGAAAAUAAAAUAUUCACCACCGCCUCGUUUGCCAACAUCGUCUUUACAAGGAAUGUCCAGCAGUGCAUGACAGAGGCCGGUCACUCCCAUUCAGUCCAGGCAGCUGAAGAGCCUUCCCAAAGACAGUUCAUAGGACAAAAUGCAGUUACACAGAUUUUAACGGUGUUGGAAACAAUGAGAGACGAGAACAGGGAAAUGAAGCGGAUGCUGCAGCGGCUCUUGGCUAGGUCAGCUACUGAUGA